UAGGGAAUCUUCCACAAUGGACGCAAGUCUGAUGGAGCAACGCCGCGUGAGUGAAGAAGGUCUUCGGAUCGUAAAACUCUGUUGUUAGAGAAGAACACGAGUGAGAGUAACUGUUCAUUCGAUGACGGUAUCUAACCAGCAAGUCACGGCUAACUACGUGCCAGCAGCCGCGGUAAUACGUAGGUGGCAAGCGUUGUCCGGAUUUAUUGGGCGUAAAGGGAACGCAGGCGGUCUUUUAAGUCUGAUGUGAAAGCCUUCGGCUUAACCGGAGUAGUGCAUUGGAAACUGGAAGACUUGAGUGCAGAAGAGGAGAGUGGAACUCCAUGUGUAGCGGUGAAAUGCGUAGAUAUAUGGAAGAACACCAGUGGCGAAAGCGGCUCUCUGGUCUGUAACUGACGCUGAGGUUCGAAAGCGUGGGUAGCAAACAGGAUUAGAUACCCUGGUAGUCCACGCCGUAAACGAUGAAUGCUAGGUGUUGGAGGGUUUCCGCCCCUCAGUGCCGCAGCUAACGCAAUAAGCAUUCCGCCUGGGGAGUACGACCGCAAGGUUG
RNAcentral lists this ribosomal RNA (550 nucleotides) under uncultured bacterium. Its description in RNAcentral is "bacterial SSU rRNA". It matches the Rfam family "Bacterial small subunit ribosomal RNA", at positions 355 to 896 of the family's 1533-position model. The record is from RNAcentral.